Molecule: ribosomal RNA, 1290 nt
Filed under: Triticum aestivum (bread wheat)
Lineage: Eukaryota; Viridiplantae; Streptophyta; Magnoliopsida; Poales; Poaceae
Description: partial small subunit ribosomal RNA
Source: RNAcentral
AUGGGGUUCGUGUCGCUGCUGGCGGUGGCGUCGACGCCGGUGGUGGAGGUGCUCCUCCUCGCGCUCCUCGGCGCCUACCUCGCCUCCCCGCGCUGCGGCCUCCUGGCCCCCUCCGCCCGCGCCGACAUCAACCGCGUCGUCUACGCCGUCUUCACCCCGGCGCUGCUGCUCGCCAGCCUCGCCUCCACCGUCACCCUCCAGGACGCCCUCUCCUGGUGGUUCAUGCCUGUCAACAUCGGCAUCGUCUUCUUCGCCGGCGGGGUCCUCGGGUGGCUGGCGGUGCUCAUCCUCAGGCCGCCGCCGCACCUCCGCGGGCUGGUUGUUGCGUCCUGCUCCGCCGCUAACUUCGGCAACCUGCUCCUCAUCGUCAUCCCCGCGGUCUGCCGCGAGGACGGCAACCCCUUCGGCGGCGACUGCACCGGCCGCGGCCUCUCCUACGCCUCCUUCUCCAUGGCGCUCGGCGGGCUCUACAUCUGGACGCACACCAACAGCGUCAUGAAGCGGUCCAGCGAGGUAUGCCGGAGGAUGGUCGCCGACCAGGAGGCUGAGGCGGCCGAAGCUCAUGACCAUAGCAAGGACUCUGUCAGUGUCACCGUCACUGUCAGUGUCAGGCCAGAGGAGAAGGGAAAACAAGAAGAAGACGAGCCGAGCUGCCUUUCCCCACUGCCGUCGUCUUCGUCGAACCAACACCACACAGCGGCACUGGCGCCGUUGCUGUCGAGUGGCAAGAUGACGAGCAGCGACAGCCUGUGGGCGAAGCUGAAGCAGGGCGCGCACCAGAUCGCCAAGGAGCUCAUGGCGCCGCCGACCGUCGGGGCGGUUCUAGGCUUCACCGUCGGCACGGUGCCGUGGCUGAGAUCCGCCUUCAUCGGCGACAGCGCUCCGCUGCGAGUAGUCCAGGACUCCCUCAAGCUGCUCGGAGAUGGCACCAUCCCCUGUGUGAUUCUCAUCCUUGGAGGGAACCUCACCAAAGGCCUGCGCAAGACGACCAUGUCGCGGUGGGUGAUCGCGGCCAUCGUCUGCGUGCGCUACAUGAUCCUGCCGGUGGUCGGGAUCGUGGUGGUGAGGACGGCGAGGGAGCUCGGCUUCCUGCCGCCGGACCCGCUGUACCAGUAUGUGCUCAUGCUCCAGUUCGCGCUGCCGCCCGCGAUGAGCAUCAGCACCAUGGCGCAGCUCUACGACGUCGCCCAGGAGGAGUGCUCGGUCGUUUUCCUCUGGACCUACCUCGUCGCCGCCCUCGCCCUCACCGCCUGGUCCACCGUCUUCAUGUCCAUCCUUGCCCCCGCCUAG